UUAUGAUGAUUAUUUCAAUUUAUUAGUUGUUUAAUUCCAUUAUUUAUGUGUUUUGGCAUGGAUGUUAUGGGGAAAAGGCAAUUGAGAGGAAUCUUACUACUGAUGCCGAGGUUGGUAGGGCUGAGGUGUACAUCCGAACCCAUACAACAAAGGAUAACAAAGUGCAGUUUCUAGAAACCUUUAAAAAAAUAAAAUCAAUUCAAAGUAGUAAUCCUGCAUCUCGGAUAACCAGUGUAGAUGAUGCCCUUACACAGUCAAUUGGGAGUGAUAGUAGAGGGCGCAUGCGGGCGAUAGGUGGAAAUGUAGGCAAGAUUGCGUUGAAGAAGACAAUGCCUAUUGUACAUAAGCUUGGUGC
This is a long non-coding RNA of Magnolia sinica, 355 nucleotides long. RefSeq lists it as uncharacterized. The record is from RefSeq and is a predicted model, not a curated record. The transcript is spliced from 3 exons. NCBI's taxonomy places the organism in Eukaryota, Viridiplantae, Streptophyta, Magnoliopsida, Magnoliales, Magnoliaceae.